RNAcentral lists this ribosomal RNA (1787 nucleotides) under human gut metagenome. Its description in RNAcentral is "bacterial LSU rRNA". It matches the Rfam family "Bacterial large subunit ribosomal RNA", at positions 243 to 1990 of the family's 2925-position model. The record is from RNAcentral.
UUUAUCGAGAAAGGUCUAUGAUAAGCCAUUGGUGUAUCUGGAUAAUGCGGCAACCACGCAGAAGCCAUUGUGCGAGCGAACGCGAAGGAGCCUGUUAGUGAUAAUGACAGAGACAGAGGAACAAGCUGGGAAGCUUGGCGAUACAGGGUGAUAGCCCCGUACUCGAAGUCCAGGUCAUGGUACUAAGCUAACGACAAGUAGGGCGGGACACGUGAUAUCCUGUUUGAAGAUGGGGGGACCAUCCUCCAAGGCUAAAUACUCCUGAUUGACCGAUAGUGAACCAGUACUGUGAAGGAAAGGCGAAAAGAACCCCGGUGAGGGGAGUGAAAUAGAACCUGAAACCUUGUACGUACAAGCAGUGGGAGCCCUUUUGGGGUGACUGCGUACCUUUUGUAUAAUGGGUCAGCGACUUAUAUUCUGUAGCAAGGUUAACCGAAUAGGGGAGCCGAAGGGAAACCGAGUCUUAACUGGGCGUUAAGUUGCAGGGUAUAGACCCGAAACCCGGUGAUCUAGCCAUGGGCAGGUUGAAGGUUGGGUAACACUAACUGGAGGACCGAACCGACUAAUGUUGAAAAAUUAGCGGAUGACUUGUGGCUGGGGGUGAAAGGCCAAUCAAACCGGGAGAUAGCUGGUUCUCCCCGAAAGCUAUUUAGGUAGCGCCUCGUGAAUUCAUCUCCGGGGGUAGAGCACUGUUUCGGCAAGGGGGUCAUCCCGACUUACCAACCCGAUGCAAACUGCGAAUACCGGAGAAUGUUAUCACGGGAGACACACGGCGGGUGCUAACGUCCGUCGUGAAGAGGGAAACAACCCAGACCGCCAGCUAAGGUCCCAAAGUCAUGGUUAAGUGGGAAACGAUGUGGGAAGGCCCAGACAGCCAGGAUGUUGGCUUAGAAGCAGCCAUCAUUUAAAGAAAGCGUAAUAGCUCACUGGUCGAGUCGGCCUGCGCGGAAGAUGUAACGGGGCUAAACCAUGCACCGAAGCUGCGGCAGCGACGCUUAUGCGUUGUUGGGUAGGGGAGCGUUCUGUAAGCCUGUGAAGGUGUACUGUGAGGUAUGCUGGAGGUAUCAGAAGUGCGAAUGCUGACAUAAGUAACGAUAAAGCGGGUGAAAAGCCCGCUCGCCGGAAGACCAAGGGUUCCUGUCCAACGUUAAUCGGGGCAGGGUGAGUCGACCCCUAAGGCGAGGCCGAAAGGCGUAGUCGAUGGGAAACAGGUUAAUAUUCCUGUACUUGGUGUUACUGCGAAGGGGGGACGGAGAAGGCUAUGUUGGCCGGGCGACGGUUGUCCCGGUUUAAGCGUGUAGGCUGGUUUUCCAGGCAAAUCCGGAAAAUCAAGGCUGAGGCGUGAUGACGAGGCACUACGGUGCUGAAGCAACAAAUGCCCUGCUUCCAGGAAAAGCCUCUAAGCAUCAGGUAACAUCAAAUCGUACCCCAAACCGACACAGGUGGUCAGGUAGAGAAUACCAAGGCGCUUGAGAGAACUCGGGUGAAGGAACUAGGCAAAAUGGUGCCGUAACUUCGGGAGAAGGCACGCUGAUAUGUAGGUGAAGUCCCUCGCGGAUGGAGCUGAAAUCAGUCGAAGAUACCAGCUGGCUGCAACUGUUUAUUAAAAACACAGCACUGUGCAAACACGAAAGUGGACGUAUACGGUGUGACGCCUGCCCGGUGCCGGAAGGUUAAUUGAUGGGGUCAGCGCAAGCGAAGCUCUUGAUCGAAGCCCCGGUAAACGGCGGCCGUAACUAUAACGGUCCUAAGGUAGCGAAAUUCCUUGUCGGGUAAGUUCCGACCUG